Molecule: long non-coding RNA, 220 nt
Filed under: Olea europaea (common olive)
Lineage: Eukaryota; Viridiplantae; Streptophyta; Magnoliopsida; Lamiales; Oleaceae
Description: long non-coding RNA (OEUR_LNC007615)
Source: RNAcentral
UAUGAUCAUCAAGAUAUCAAAAACACUUGCUAAAUGUGUAAGUGUGUGUCAAGCCAUAGCCAUCUUACCGCCAACCCUAACACAUGCAACAUCGAGUGUAUCUCUAGCUAAAGGUCCAACCCCAUAACUCACAGAUAUUAAAGUGUUUAGUGCGGGAUUUCUCUCUAUGGAGCUGGGAAAGAUGCACACUCAAAACAUGGAGGCUUUAAUAAUUAGCAAC